Molecule: transfer RNA, 74 nt
Filed under: Pseudomonadota bacterium
Lineage: Bacteria; Pseudomonadati; Pseudomonadota
Also listed under: 2 other names
Description: Proteobacteria bacterium tRNA-Pro
Rfam family: tRNA
About the family: Transfer RNA (tRNA) molecules are approximately 80 nucleotides in length. Their secondary structure includes four short double-helical elements and three loops (D, anti-codon, and T loops).
Source: RNAcentral
CGGGGUGUAGCGCAGCUUGGUAGCGCAUCUGCUUUGGGAGCAGAGGGUCGCAGGUUCGAAUCCUGUCACCCCGA